AUUAAGGUGUCUGAAUAAAGUAGUAAACUGUAAAUUUACUUAAGGAUUAUGUCAUCCCCUUAAUA
This 65-nucleotide transfer RNA is filed under the name Nephotettix nigropictus. RNAcentral describes it as "tRNA-Tyr". The record is from RNAcentral. Lineage: Eukaryota; Metazoa; Arthropoda; Insecta; Hemiptera; Cicadellidae.